GGACGAACGCUGGCGGCGUGCCUAACACAUGCAAGUCGAACGGGGCCCGCAAGGGUUCAGUGGCGAACGGGUGCGUAACACGUGAAGAAUUUGUCCAACGGCGGGGGAUAGCCGGCCCAACGGCCGGGUAAUACCGCGUACGACCGUCGAGGGGCAUCCCUCGACGGUGAAAGCCGCAAGGCGCCGAUGGAGAACUUCGCGGCCUAUCAGCUAGUUGGUGAGGUCAUGGCUCACCAAGGCGACGACGGGUAGCUGGUCCGAGAGGAUGACCAGCCACAUUGGGACUGAGACACGGCCCAGACUCCUACGGGAGGCAGCAGUGGGGAAUAUUGCGCAAUGGCGAAAGCCUGACGCAGCGACGCCGCGUGUGGGAUGACGGCCUUCGGUUGUAAC
RNAcentral lists this ribosomal RNA (393 nucleotides) under uncultured bacterium. Its description in RNAcentral is "bacterial SSU rRNA". It matches the Rfam family "Bacterial small subunit ribosomal RNA", at positions 27 to 429 of the family's 1533-position model. The record is from RNAcentral.